This 261-nucleotide long non-coding RNA is filed under the name Lathyrus oleraceus (garden pea). Its description in RNAcentral is "Pisum sativum (pea) long non-coding RNA (PSAT_LNC008416)". Lineage: Eukaryota; Viridiplantae; Streptophyta; Magnoliopsida; Fabales; Fabaceae. The record is from RNAcentral.
CUCUGACCCCAUCACAUCUUCAUCUCCCUUACCUCUCUUCAACCUUCAAACAACAUCCAUUCCCCACUCUGAAGUCAUCAUGUUCAACGAACCCUUAUCACCAUCCCUCUCAUCUAACCUCAGUUCCCCUCCUUAUUCUGACCCCACUUCUAACUUUGAACACUCUGGUUCAAAUAACCCUGACCCAACCUCCCCAAACCAUGAAGAACUUCAUGCCACGGCUGACUCUGAAAAGACUCCCUCUGUACUUAAACAUUCUGU